AGAUUAAGUUAUUAAGGGCGCACGGUGGAUGCCUUGGCACUAGAAGCCGAUGAAGGACGUUACUAACGACGAUAUGCUUUGGGGAGCUGUAAGUAAGCUUUGAUCCAGAGAUUUCCGAAUGGGGAAACCCAGCAUGAGUUAUGUCAUGUUAUCGAUAUGUGAAUACAUAGCAUAUCAGAAGGCACACCCGGAGAACUGAAACAUCUUAGUACCCGGAGGAAGAGAAAGAAAAUUCGAUUCCCUUAGUAGCGGCGAGCGAAACGGGAAGAGCCCAAACCAACAAGCUUGCUUGUUGGGGUUGUAGGACACUCUAUACGGAGUUACAAAGGACGACAUUAGACGAAUCAUCUGGAAAGAUGAAUCAAAGAAGGUAAUAAUCCUGUAGUCGAAAAUGUUGUCUCUCUUGAGUGGAUCCUGAGUACGACGGAGCACGUGAAAUUCCGUCGGAAUCUGGGAGGACCAUCUCCUAAGGCUAAAUACUCUCUAGUGACCGAUAGUGAACCAGUACCGUGAGGGAAAGGUGAAAAGCACCCCGGAAGGGGAGUGAAACAGAACCUGAAACCGUGUGCUUACAAGUAGUCAGAGCCCGUUAAUGGGUGAUGGCGUGCCUUUUGUAGAAUGAACCGGCGAGUUACGAUUUGAUGCAAGGUUAAGCAGUAAAUGUGGAGCCGUAGCGAAAGCGAGUCUGAAUAGGGCGUUUAGUAUUUGGUCGUAGACCCGAAACCAGGUGAUCUACCCUUGGUCAGGUUGAAGUUCAGGUAACACUGAAUGGAGGACCGAACCGACUUACGUUGAAAAGUGAGCGGAUGAACUGAGGGUAGCGGAGAAAUUCCAAUCGAACCUGGAGAUAGCUGGUUCUCUCCGAAAUAGCUUUAGGGCUAGCCUCAAGUGAUGAUUAUUGGAGGUAGAGCACUGUUUGGACGAGGGGCCCCUCUCGGGUUACCGAAUUCAGACAAACUCCGAAUGCCAAUUAAUUUAACUUGGGAGUCAGAACAUGGGUGAUAAGGUCCGUGUUCGAAAGGGAAACAGCCCAGACCACCAGCUAAGGUCCCAAAAUAUAUGUUAAGUGGAAAAGGAUGUGGCGUUGCCCAGACAACUAGGAUGUUGGCUUAGAAGCAGCCAUCAUUUAAAGAGUGCGUAAUAGCUCACUAGUCGAGUGACACUGCGCCGAAAAUGUACCGGGGCUAAACAUAUUACCGAAGCUGUGGAUUGUCCUUUGGACAAUGGUAGGAGAGCGUUCUAAGGGCGUUGAAGCAUGAUCGUAAGGACAUGUGGAGCGCUUAGAAGUGAGAAUGCCGGUGUGAGUAGCGAAAGACGGGUGAGAAUCCCGUCCACCGAUUGACUAAGGUUUCCAGAGGAAGGCUCGUCCGCUCUGGGUUAGUCGGGUCCUAAGCUGAGGCCGACAGGCGUAGGCGAUGGAUAACAGGUUGAUAUUCCUGUACCACCUAUAAUCGUUUUAAUCGAUGGGGGGACGCAGUAGGAUAGGCGAAGCGUGCGAUUGGAUUGCACGUCUAAGCAGUAAGGCUGAGUAUUAGGCAAAUCCGGUACUCGUUAAGGCUGAGCUGUGAUGGGGAGAAGACAUUGUGUCUUCGAGUCGUUGAUUUCACACUGCCGAGAAAAGCCUCUAGAUAGAAAAUAGGUGCCCGUACCGCAAACCGACACAGGUAGUCAAGAUGAGAAUUCUAAGGUGAGCGAGCGAACUCUCGUUAAGGAACUCGGCAAAAUGACCCCGUAACUUCGGGAGAAGGGGUGCUCUUUAGGGUUAACGCCCAGAAGAGCCGCAGUGAAUAGGCCCAAGCGACUGUUUAUCAAAAACACAGGUCUCUGCUAAACCGUAAGGUGAUGUAUAGGGGCUGACGCCUGCCCGGUGCUGGAAGGUUAAGAGGAGUGGUUAGCUUCUGCGAAGCUACGAAUCGAAGCCCCAGUAAACGGCGGCCGUAACUAUAACGGUCCUAAGGUAGCGAAAUUCCUUGUCGGGUAAGUUCCGACCCGCACGAAAGGCGUAACGAUUUGGGCACUGUCUCAACGAGAGACUCGGUGAAAUCAUAGUACCUGUGAAGAUGCAGGUUACCCGCGACAGGACGGAAAGACCCCGUGGAGCUUUACUGUAGCCUGAUAUUGAAAUUCGGCACAGCUUGUACAGGAUAGGUAGGAGCCUUUGAAACGUGAGCGCUAGCUUACGUGGAGGCGCUGGUGGGAUACUACCCUAGCUGUGUUGGCUUUCUAACCCGCACCACUUAUCGUGGUGGGAGACAGUGUCAGGCGGGCAGUUUGACUGGGGCGGUCGCCUCCUAAAAGGUAACGGAGGCGCUCAAAGGUUCCCUCAGAAUGGUUGGAAAUCAUUCAUAGAGUGUAAAGGCAUAAGGGAGCUUGACUGCGAGACCUACAAGUCGAGCAGGGUCGAAAGACGGACUUAGUGAUCCGGUGGUUCCGCAUGGAAGGGCCAUCGCUCAACGGAUAAAAGCUACCCCGGGGAUAACAGGCUUAUCUCCCCCAAGAGUUCACAUCGACGGGGAGGUUUGGCACCUCGAUGUCGGCUCAUCGCAUCCUGGGGCUGUAGUCGGUCCCAAGGGUUGGGCUGUUCGCCCAUUAAAGCGGUACGCGAGCUGGGUUCAGAACGUCGUGAGACAGUUCGGUCCCUAUCCGUCGUGGGCGUAGGAAAUUUGAGAGGAGCUGUCCUUAGUACGAGAGGACCGGGAUGGACAUACCUCUGGUGCACCAGUUGUCGUGCCAACGGCAUAGCUGGGUAGCUAUGUGUGGACGGGAUAAGUGCUGAAAGCAUCUAAGCAUGAAGCCCCCCUCAAGAUGAGAUUUCCCAACUUCGGUUAUAAGAUCCCUCAAAGAUGAUGAGGUUAAUAGGUUCGAGGUGGAAGCAUGGUGACAUGUGGAGCUGACGAAUACUAAUCGAUCGAAGACUUAAUCAAAUU
Molecule: ribosomal RNA, 2927 nt
Filed under: Staphylococcus aureus
Lineage: Bacteria; Bacillati; Bacillota; Bacilli; Caryophanales; Staphylococcaceae
Description: bacterial LSU rRNA
Rfam family: Bacterial large subunit ribosomal RNA
Source: RNAcentral